UUCCGGUUGAUCCUGCCGGACCCCACUGCUAUCGGGAUAGGACUAAGACAUGCUAUUCGAGCGCGUCAGCCAAAACGACGCGCGGCAUACAGCUCAGUAACACGUGGCUAAUCUGCCCUUGGGACGAGAACAAACCCGGGAAACUGGGGCUAAUUCUCGAUAGAUGAAGAACUCUGGAAUGAGUCUUUAUCAAAAAAGAUUUACGUUAUGCUCGUGAAUCCGCCCAAGGAUGAGGCCGCGACCGAUCAGGUUGUUGGUGAGGUAACGGCUCACCAAGCCUUUUACCGGUGCGGGCCGUGGGAGCGGGAGCCCGGAGAUGGGUACUGAGACAAGGACCCAGGCCCUACGGGGCGCAGCAGUCGCGAAACCUUUGCAAUACACGCAAGUGUGACAGGGCUAUCCCGAGUGCCAUCCGCUGAGGAAGGCUUUUACCCAGUAUAGAAAGCUGGGGGAAUAAGGAGAGGGCAAGUCUGGUGUCAGCCGCCGCGGUAAUACCAGCUCUCCGAGUGGUGUGGAUGUUUAUUGGGCCUAAAGCAUCCGUAGCUGGCUAAGUUAGUCCUUUGUUAAAUCCACCGAAUUAAUCGUUGGGUUGCGAGGGAUACUGCUUGGCUAGGGGACGAGAGAGGCAGACGGUAUUUUCGGGGUAGGGGUGAAAUCCUAUAAUCCCGGGAAGACCACCAGUGGCGAAGGCUGUCUGCUAGAACGCGCCCGACGGUGAGGGAUGAAAGCUGGGGUAGCGAACCGGAUUAGAUACCCGGGUAGUCCCAGCUGUAAACGAUGCAGGCUAGGUG
RNAcentral lists this ribosomal RNA (791 nucleotides) under Methanosaeta sp. enrichment culture clone AB7. Its description in RNAcentral is "bacterial SSU rRNA". It matches the Rfam family "Archaeal small subunit ribosomal RNA", at positions 1 to 773 of the family's 1478-position model. The record is from RNAcentral. Lineage: Archaea; Methanobacteriati; Methanobacteriota; Methanomicrobia; Methanotrichales; Methanotrichaceae.